RNAcentral lists this long non-coding RNA (1973 nucleotides) under Manacus vitellinus (golden-collared manakin). Its description in RNAcentral is "lncRNA (ENSMVIG00005014899.1)". The record is from RNAcentral. Lineage: Eukaryota; Metazoa; Chordata; Aves; Passeriformes; Pipridae.
CCAUCCAUCCAUCCAUCCAUCCAUCCAUCCAUCACAGCCCCGCUGGUCGCACAAAUCGCUGCAGCCCCGAACGCCUCGUUCUCCACUGGCCUCAGAACUCCCCGGCAGGGCAGCCGAGCAGGCCCCGCUCUCAGACAGGGCGGCGGGCAGGGGGACAGAGCCCGGACAGAGCCGGGGACAGAGCCCGGACAGAGCCGGGGACAGAGCCCGGACAGAGCCGGGCCCAGCCGCCGCAGUGCCGUGUGCCCGGCUCGGCUGAGGGGGAGCUGCUGCAGCCGCUGCCGUCCGGACAGGGCCGGGCCGGGCUGUGGGCUCUGCAGAGCACAGGUCCGCUCCCUCGGCCGGACCCAGCUCACGGGGAGAUCACGAGCAAGAGAAGGGAAGGUGCCGGCCCUCACAACCCGGCUGGUGGGCGGCAGAGCCGAGAGAAGCUUUUCCUUCCCUGUUGUUGACAGCGGGACUAAACCAGCCCGAGUUCCUUGUGCAGCACAAACGAACCAUUACAGUGUGCAGAAGCUUUUUCUUUAGGCUGCGAAGUGCUUCCCUAGUGUUCCCCAAGCUCUUAGAAAUUAUUGCCAUGAAUGCUCCAGUGCCUUCCCCCAUUAUCUUUGCAAUCCUGCUUCUUCCUCACAAAAAGGCAAAAAGCACAGCACAUAAGCACUGUACCACUUCAACCACGCUGGGGAGGAAAACGAUACAGGCAAAGAGGUAUCAGCUCAUCUACUGCAGAGAAGCUACUAGCAGGUUUUGCUGCUCUCCAAGUUCGUUCAUCCAGCCUACAGAGGUACUUCGGGACUCCAGCAGUGACCAGGAGGAGUUGCAUUGGGAACAGUGUAAUGCAUGUGUGCAGUGGGACCUCUCUGGUUUCUCUGCCAGCCUCCAACACUACAGUUCAGGGACUUCCAGAGCCAAAGGCAGCCUCUGCAGUACAGGUUUCCAUACCGCAGUGUGUAUAGAUAAAAUUCCAGGCUGAUAGUACCAAGGCAGAUUAAAUUACAAAGUUAGUUACUUCUGUGACAAAACAGUAAUCAACACUAGCACAAACAACAUGUUAGAAAGUGCAAAUUUACCACCAGAAAGCUACAGCUUUCAGUGGGAGACAUAAAAAAGCAUUUCCAUUCUGAAGCACUUCUGUGAGGGCUUUUAAAUCAAUCCUAGGAGCUGAAAUUCUCUGGAAUGAGAUUUUGCCAUUCACAAGGCCUCUGCUUUAGAGUGACCUUUAUGUUUGGCUAUUUUUCCCUUCUGUAAGUAUAAACACUGUAGCUGAGAGGGAAAACAUCAGAGGAAAAUUAGAAUAUUUUGGAACAGUGACAGCAAAGAGGGAACAUUUCCCCAUGCUAAGCUCUAGGUUUCCACAACAACAUCAGUACUGCUCCUGAUGCCCCUCUCCAAGCCAACUAGUUUAAAGGUGUAUGAUCGGGGUACUGGCCAGAGAAAUGCACUACUCUGAACACUUUAAUUUCAGCUUAACAUUUUAAAGGGAGAAAACCAUACAAUACUUUUUUAGAUGGUUUUACUAAGUGAGAAAAAAAAUAAUUUAAAAUGAAACAGAUCUGUUACAGACACCGAUUCCUCCUUUUCAAGAACAUCCAGCAGCUCAGCAAGGGAAGUGUGUGUUGAGAGCUAGCAAGGUGUAUGUGAAGGAGGGAGCACUCAGCUCUAGCUAUGCCAGGCAGUCAGGUGCUGCACUCAACCUUUCUGGCUGAGAAAUGCAAAGUUAGCCCCAGAAACACCAGCAGAUUUUUAAGAAAUCUGGAUAAAUUGAGCUAGCAAUACUGGAAACGUCACAUUUUCAGGGACUUUUCAGGUCAAGGCUAAAGUUAGUUCUCAGCUCUCACCCAGAUUCUACCACAUGCAGUAAAAUAACCCACCAAGAAAAACCCAGGGGUGAACCACUGCUGAUGUUACUGAGAGGCUGCACACAGUGUCUGUCAGAGCAUCCCCCGCAGGAGGCAGGAGGAGAAUUUUGCUCC